Molecule: long non-coding RNA, 4381 nt
Organism: Pteropus alecto (black flying fox)
Lineage: Eukaryota; Metazoa; Chordata; Mammalia; Chiroptera; Pteropodidae
Exons: 3
Source: RefSeq, a predicted model, not a curated record
CCAUCAUAGCUGACAAAAAGGGGGCCCUACUUCCCAGGUUGCAGGGAUGCAAGAGAGCAAUAUUACUUUUGUGGGCGUUAAAAUCUCCCAAAUAUCGAGCGGUGACCAUGUGCUAGGCUCUCUGCUGGGAAAUGGACAUAGGUUAUAUCAUUGCAUCCUACAGCAGCCCCAUCUCUUGUUACAGAUGAGAAAGUUUCCCAAUUGUCCCGUUUUAUGGGGGAGGGAACUAUGGCUCCAGGGAGGUGGAGAGAAGAGGCCAAGUCACCCAGCCAGGAAAGGACCUGUUAGGAUCAAUCUGCUCUCACAGAGUGGAGAUGGGUCAGGACCAGGAGGAAGAAGAGCUUGAUAGCUUGGCUGGGCCAAGCACGAGUGCCGUGUGGAAGGCCUGGGAGGUCCUUGGACGUCCAGGAUAUGACCUUAAGGGUUGCAGAAGGUGUUUGGGGGGCCAGAAAAGUAAUCUGGGGUCAUGGGAAGAGCACAGACCAGGAUCUAGCAGUGUGUCCUUGGGCACUGCACUUGACCCCUUUGAGUCUCGAUUUCCUCAUGUCUCUCCGGAAGAAGCUCCACCCUUCAGGGCAGGGGUGAGGAGUGAGGGAGAGGAAGUGAGUCAGUGGCUCCGAGACCUCAGAUCCUGGGCCUGUCUCUGCUGUUGUCCUUCACCUCACAGAGGUUUCCUGAGCUGUGACAACACACGGGCUCUGUGUCCUCAGCCUUGUGUCCAUCACCCUGGUCCCCCCAGGCCUGGGACGCAGGAAGAUUCUUCACUAGACGGGAACUCGUGGGCAUUCACAAGGCUGGUGAGGAGAGGGUGCGCUCAGACCCCAGGUCGGAGCCUCUGCUCUCUCCCAGGCCCGGGCGCUGGAGUUUCUCUCUGGCUCCUGGAACCUGGGUUGCGUCCAGCUCAGCACAAACGAAAUGUGAGAAAUGUAAAGAAUGUUCUGCUCCAGAAACCUCCCAGUCUACUCGAGGCGCAGAGCAAUUUCUUUCUGAUUAAGCAAAAUGUCACAGGUCACCGUGUGACCACUUUUAACGCUGAAUCUUUUCUGAUUUCCUCACUCCCAAGUGUCUUCUCUGCCUCCAGUUCUAUCGGUGCCUCUGAAGCAGGACCCUUUAGUUUCUCCACCUCCUUCUUCCUGCCAUCCAGUGUUCCUCAGCUUCUGCUGUGAGUUCCGCAAGGUUCUGGUCCAGAGAAGCAUCCCAGACCUCCUAUGUGGAGGGGAGACUCCUGAAGAUGAAGAUGUGACCCUGCCUGCCCUCUAGAGUCUGGAUCUCUCAUGGGACCCUGAGGUGAGGCUGGGGGCAGUACAGGAACUGGCACUGACAAUUCAAGGACAUUUGCAGGGGCCUACGGAAGCAAAAUGAAAAGGCAACUGGCUCUAUGAAUCAAGGAGGGCUUCCUGGAGGAGGAGACAUCUGAGAUGAGUCUUACCACACAAAUGCCAGACUAGAGCUUGUUAAGGAGACUUGCUUCCAAGGUCAUAUUUAUUGAGUGGAUGAGUGAACAAAUGAAUGAACAAAUGAAUGAAUGUAUCUAAUCCAGACCUUCCAUUUGACAGCAGAGCUUCAUCUGGUGACUUCCAGGCUCUGCCAGAGCCUGAUAAGCCCACCUUUCUGCCCUGUCAGCCCCCCUGGCUUCCUGAGGCUUUAGGCCACCUGACACAGACAAAUGGCAGCCUCCCUCAACCCUGGGGUUGUCCUGGGCUCUCCAACCUGGAAGCCCUGAGCUUUCUCUGCUUGUGGGUUUGCUCACAGCUUCCAAAAGGCAGCAGAGUCAUGGAGAAGGGCACAGACCUGGUCUCCACCCUUCUGUAGCUAUGUGAUCUUAAGCAAGUCAGCGCACCACUCUGAGCCUCAAUGAGAUGUUGCAGUAAUGCCUACCUUGUGGACGUUUGUUGUUACAGUGUCUCAAGUCUCUAUUCCUCCCUGUGUUCGCAUCCCUUGUAAUGUGCGUUUUUAGCUCUUACAAUCAAGAAGUGGAGUGUCUUCCCCAUCCCUUAGAUCUGGGCUGUCCCUGUGACUUAUAUGGUGGAAGGGACAUGGGAGCCCAGGCCUCCAAAAGCCUUCUGAUCCUUGAGGCCUCCAUGUGGACAAACCCGGGCUACCUGUUGAAGGAUGAAAGACCACGUGGAACCGAGUCAUCUCAUUUGUCUCAGCCACGAUCAGCAAAGCCGACCUGCAGCUGACCCCCAGGCUGACCGCAACUGCAUGAGAAGUACAGCCAAACUCAGAAUAAAAAUGCCCAGCUGACCCACGGGCUGCUGUGACUACCAGGCUGAGUCAUCCAGGUUCCUGCCCCAGGACUGUGGAGGUGGGACCCAAAAGGAAGGACACUCUUUGAGGGUGGCCAGGAUGAGCCAUAUUCCAGCACAUGCAUUGAAUGACUGAGAGACCGCCAUGCCGACGUGGAUGCCCCCCAUCUCCAUCUCCUACUCCAAUGGAAGUUGCCUUCUCCCUUUAAGCUGAGGUGCUCACUCCCUCCUUCAGGUUUCAUUGUUCCUUCACUUCCCUCCAUCACAAUUCACCUCACUGUGGCUUCGGGAUUGUUCUGGAAAUGCAGCUACUAUCAUAUCAAUUCCCUCUCUGACCUUUAGUCUCCGCUUAAGACACUUCAGUGGGAUCCUGCUUUUUUUUUUUUUUUUUUUACGACAAAACCCCAAAUCUCUUUGGUGGCAUUUGAGGCCCCAUAUAGUCUGGCCUUUGCCUCCCCACCUCCGGCCUCAUUUCACACCAGACUCCUACCCACAAUCUGCCCUCCAAUCACACAGGCCUUGGAGGUGUCCAUGGUCCAACAGCUGUUCACCCACGGAGACUUUGCACAUUCUACUCCCCUGUCUAAAUGUUCCCCCUCACCCCCAAAUUCAUGUAACUCCUAUUCACCCUUCAGAUCCCAGAUUCGCUGUUCUAGCCUGCCGAGACGCCUCUGUGACAUGCUGACCUAGCACUGUAUAACCUUGACUGCACUUGUAACUUACACAUCUUGGUAUCCUUGAUUAAUCUCUGUUUCCCUCUAGACUGUGAGCUUCACAGGGCUAGGACCAUGGCAGAUUUACUGAAUUCCCUUGACACAGUGGCUGUUGCAUAGGAGUUUGCAGAGGAAAUCCCCGGGCCUGAACAUUUCUUGAGCUGAUGAGACACUGCGGCGAUUGUGUCUGGUGGGGCCGACUGGCUGAUGGACAGUGGUCUAAUGGCCUCAGAGUGCUUAUGAGACCAUUGUCCCCUCACGUCAGACUUUCAUCAAAAAUCCAAGGGUUGACUCUGAAGACCAACCUGUGUCAUGUUUGUCCUAUCCCCGAGCCCAACAUGUGGCUGGGGGAAUGGAAGUCACUGCGUGGCUGGGCCUGGUUCAUUUGCUGACUCCAGAGCCAGAUGUGUGUUAAAGCCUCACCCGAUAACCUUGAGGAAGAGAGGAAGGUCAGGAGGUCCCUAAAGGAAAGUCAGAGGAAGGAGGAUGGAUGCGAGCAGGCAAGAACAGCCAUUCAAGACCACUGCAUUGCAAACACAGAGGCAUAAGUAGGUUAAAGUUAAAAAUCUACUAAAUGAAAAUCAGAAAACCAAUGGGGAAAAUCAAUAAAAGCAAGUGCUGUUUUUUUUUUUUUUUUUGAGACAAUAAAAUGAAUAAACCCCUUAUUAGACUGGUUAAAGAAAAAAAGACAAAAUGGCCAACAUCGGGAAUGAGAGCAGUGAUGUCACUAUGGAGUCACAGACAUUAAAAGCAUGAAAAGGGAAUGUUAUGAGCAACUUAAUGCCAUUAAAUUCAGUAAGUUAAAUGAAAUGGACAAAUCCUUGGAAAGACACAAACUACUAAAGCUUACUUAAGAAAAAAUAGAGAAACUGAAAGCCCUUAUCUGUUUAAAAAAGUAUUUAAAACUGUAGUUGAAAACUUUCUCACAAGGAAAACUCUGGGCCUAAAUGGCUUCACUGGUGAAUUCUACCAAAUAUUUUAGAAAGAAAUAAUACCAAUUUUUAAACAAGCUCUUCGGGUAAAUCGAAAGGAAGGAAAUGCUUUCAAAUGCAUUCAACGAGGCCAGCCCCACUCUGUUCCUCAAAUCAGAAAAAUGUUUUACAAAAAAAGCUAGCUAGAGGCCAACAUCUAUCAUGAACACAAAUGCAAAAUUUCUAUGUAAAAUUUUAGUAAAUUGAAUUUAAAAAUACAAAAAUGAUGUGUUAUUAUAUGACCAAGUGUGGUUUAUACAAAGAAUGCAUGUUUAUUUUAACAUUUGGAAAUUAGUCAGUUUUCAAACAAACCGAAAAAGAAAAAAUCAUAUCAUCAUCUCAACAGAUGCAGAAGCAUAUGACAAAAUACAACACGUAUUUCUGACAAAAACUUUCCGCAAAGUAGAAAUAGAAAGAUAUUUUCUCAUCCGACAAAGGACAUCUACAA